This 266-nucleotide ribosomal RNA is filed under the name uncultured bacterium. Its description in RNAcentral is "partial 16S ribosomal RNA". It matches the Rfam family "Bacterial small subunit ribosomal RNA", at positions 92 to 354 of the family's 1533-position model. The record is from RNAcentral.
CGACCGGCGCACGGGUGAGUAACACGUAUGGAACCUGCCCUAUGCAGGGGGAUAAGCGGAAGAAAUUCCGUCUAACACCGCAUAACACCUUUAGGAGACAUCUUCUUGGGGUCAAAGGAGGCGACUCCGGCAUAGGAUGGCCAUGCGUCGCAUUAGCUAGUCGGCGGGGUAACGGCCCACCGAGGCGACGAUGCGUAGGGGUUCUGAGAGGAAGGUCCCCCACACUGGUACUGAGACACGGACCAGACUCCUACGGAAGGCAGCAG